CGGUCCAUCAAUGACGACAAAAGGGUCGCUACUCGAUCGCUACCCGGCCGGCCGGCCGGCCGGAAUCGCUAAAAGUCAGUCAGCACCGACAGACGGUCCAUUGAGAGAAAUACUCCACAGGCUGUGUCAUUAGUAGGGAUAAAAACAGAUUAAAUACGGACAGAUAUUACCGAUAUUGUAUUUAUUUUUAUAUUUUUUUGUU
RNAcentral lists this long non-coding RNA (202 nucleotides) under Sorghum bicolor (sorghum). RNAcentral describes it as "long non-coding RNA (SBIC_LNC003974)". The record is from RNAcentral. Lineage: Eukaryota; Viridiplantae; Streptophyta; Magnoliopsida; Poales; Poaceae.